AGUUGUUAGCAGCAGCGAAUCUGCAUGGGUCUGCAGCAACCUCAAGUCUCCUCAGAAGAAAGAAUUUGACCAAGGGGCAUAAGGCAGAAGGAGAGACCCGGGCAAGCUUCAGAGCAAGAGUGGAAGUUUAUUAAAAAGCUUCAGAGCAGGAAUGAAAGAAAAGUACACUUGGAAGAGAGCCAAACAGGUAAAACCUCAUUAACGUAACUGCAACAAUGAAGACAUUACCUAAAGUUCUGAUCUGUGUUUGGUGCUGUGGGGGAAUUAGAAGUGAGUCAUGUGGUCCCUGACCUCAAAGGACUCCAGCACGCAUCCCAUCAAUCUGCAGAAGGAGAGGACAGACUGCAAAAAUGGGACGAGCCUCGGGGCUGGACACAAGUGGCUGGGAAACGUCCGCAGCAGGUCUCAUUCCCCGGGAGGCGAGGAUGAAAAUUACAGGUGACACAUGGGUCAAUGGCCUGUCUCCUGACUCAAGACACACAAGGAAGAGACUCUUUGAAGCCUCAGGAGCAGACACUCAAUUGGAUAGCGCCUGGGAUUUGAAGGUCUGCCAUAGAGUCCGAAGAGAGGGGGAAAACACACGCAAACCACCCAAUCACAGGGACCCCUGUGGCUCCUCACCCACCCUCCACCCUCCACCUUCCACUUAUUCCACUCCUCUCGAUUGUCAAUUAAAAUAAACAGCCUUGUAUUCC
This 695-nucleotide long non-coding RNA is filed under the name Homo sapiens (human). Its description in RNAcentral is "non-protein coding lnc-NXPE2-5:5". Lineage: Eukaryota; Metazoa; Chordata; Mammalia; Primates; Hominidae. The record is from RNAcentral.